UGAGUUAUGCUGGUCGCUGCAGCGGGCCUCUGCGUGGGCGGCGGGAAUCCGCGGACAUCGGGUCGGGUCCAGGCUCCCGAGUCCGCGCUCCUGGGCGGGAGCCCUUGUCUGGGUCUCCCGGGGGGCUGCCAGAUGCGUAGGCCACACUGACUAGUUCCUUCUUGUCGCUUUUUCCAGCAAAUGGCGGAUGACGCCGGUGCAGCGGGGGGGCCCGGAGGCCCUGGUGGCCCGGGGAUGGGGAACCGCGGUGGCUUCCGCGGAGGUUUCGGCAGUGGCAUCCGGGGCCGGGGUCGCGGCCGUGGACGGGGCCGGGGCCGAGGCCGCGGAGCUCGCGGAGGCAAGGCCGAGGAUAAAGAGGUAGGUAUCAGCCACGCUCGGGGUCGGGCCCCUGGGCGGCGCCGGAGAGCAGUCCUGGUCACUGGCGCCUUUUCUCCCUUUAGUGGAUGCCCGUCACCAAGUUGGGCCGGUUGGUCAAGGACAUGAAGAUCAAGUCCCUGGAAGAGAUCUAUCUCUUCUCCCUGCCCAUUAAGGAAUCAGAGAUCAUUGAUUUCUUCCUGGGGGCCUCUCUCAAGGAUGAGGUUUUGAAGAUUAUGCCAGUGCAGAAGCAGACCCGUGCCGGCCAGCGCACCAGGUUCAAGGUACCCGGCUGUCCUGGAGCGGGCUGCGCUGGGCUUGCUGGGACUCUCUCGGCUCUGCAUAGUUGCACUUGGCUUCACCCGUGUGACUUUCGUAACGGGGAGAGAGAGAAAAGAUCUCCUCAGGACCUCGGAUGGGCCUUACUGUGGCCUCUCUUUCCUUGAGGGGCGCAACAGGCCCUGGGCGGUGGGCAGUGAUUGG
RNAcentral lists this small RNA (837 nucleotides) under Pan troglodytes (chimpanzee). RNAcentral's name for it is "retained intron". The stretch from base 681 to 814 matches the Rfam family "Small nucleolar RNA SNORA64/SNORA10 family". Lineage: Eukaryota; Metazoa; Chordata; Mammalia; Primates; Hominidae. The record is from RNAcentral.